AAACCUUGAUUCAAGGAAACCCCGGGGGGGGGAAGACGCCCUUCGGGUUUUAAAUCCCUUUCCCCAUCGACGAAGGUUUUUUGACGGUAGAUGGAGAAGAAGCACCGGCUAAAUUACGUGCCAGCAGCCGCGGUAAUACGUAGGGUGCGAGCGUUGUCCGGAAUUACUGGGCGUAAAGAGCUCGUAGGUGGUUUGUCGCGUCGUCUGUGAAAUUCCGGGGCUUAACUCCGGGCGUGCAGGCGAUACGGGCAUAACUUGAGUACUGUAGGGGAGACUGGAAUUCCUGGUGUAGCGGUGAAAUGCGCAGAUAUCAGGAGGAACACCGGUGGCGAAGGCGGGUCUCUGGGCAGUAACUGACGCUGAGGAGCGAAAGCAUGGGUAGCGAACAGGAUUAGAUACCCUGGUAGUCCAUGCCGUAAACGGUGGGCGCUAGGUGUAGGGGUCUUCCACGACUUCUGUGCCGUAGCUAACGCAUUAAGCGCCCCGCCUGGGGAGUACGGCCGCAAGGCUAAAACUCAAAGGAAUUGACGGGGGCCCGCACAAGCGGCGGAGCAUGUGGAUUAAUUCGAUGCAACGCGAAGAACCUUACCUGGGCUUGACAUAUACGGGACCGGGCCAGAGAUGGUCCUUCCCUUGUGGCUCGUAUACAGGUGGUGCAUGGUUGUCGUCAGCUCGUGUCGUGAGAUGUUGGGUUAAGUCCCGCAACGAGCGCAACCCUUGUCUUAUGUUGCCAGCACGUAAUGGUGGGGACUCGUGAGAAACUGCCGGGGUCAACUCGGAGGAAGGUGGGGAUGACGUCAAAUCAUCAUGCCCCUUAUGUCCAGGGCUUCACACAUGCUACAAUGGUCGGUACAGUGGGUUGCGAUGCCGUGAGGUGGAGCUAAUCCCUGAAAGCCGGUCUCAGUUCGGAUCGGGGUCUGCAACUCGACCCCGUGAAGUCGGAGUCGCUAGUAAUCGCAGAUCAGCAACGCUGCGGUGAAUACGUUCCCGGGCCUUGUACACACCGCCCGUCACGUCAUGAAAGUCGGUAACACCCGAAGCCAGUGGCCCAACCCUUGUGGGGGAGCUGUCGAAGGUGGAUCGCAGGCAAAUAAAAAAAAAGGGGCC
This 1107-nucleotide ribosomal RNA is filed under the name Corynebacterium xerosis. RNAcentral's name for it is "bacterial SSU rRNA". It matches the Rfam family "Bacterial small subunit ribosomal RNA", at positions 378 to 1500 of the family's 1533-position model. Lineage: Bacteria; Bacillati; Actinomycetota; Actinomycetes; Mycobacteriales; Corynebacteriaceae. The record is from RNAcentral.